Molecule: ribosomal RNA, 1371 nt
Filed under: metagenome
Description: SSU rRNA
Rfam family: Eukaryotic small subunit ribosomal RNA
Source: RNAcentral
CUGGUUGAUCCUGCCAGUGAUCAUAUUCUUCGAUCAAAGAUUAAGCCAUGCAUGUCCAAGACUAAACAAGUUACUAGUGAAUCUGCGUAUGGCUCAUUAUAUGAAUCAUUACUUACCCGAGCACCAAAUCACAACUGGAUAACCGUUGUAAUUCAAGGGCUAAUCAUGCAUCAAAAGAAGUUUAGUAAUAGACUUCUGCAUUUGUUAGUCGCAAACCAACAUUUUUGUUCGGUGAAUCAUGACAAAUUGCGGAUCCUCAUGUUGCAAAAAACGGAGGACGACUCGGUCAGGUCUUUCCCCUAUCAGUUUUCGUAGGAAAUGUAUUGAAUUUUCUAGACUUUGACGGGUAGCGGAAAAUAAGGGUUUGAUUCCGGAGAAGGAGCCUGAGAGACGGCUACUACAUCUAAGGAAGGCAGCAGGCGCGCAAAUUUCCCAAUGCUCAUCGAGCGAGGAAGUGACGAUCAAUAACAAUGUGCGAUUCUUUAUGGAUUGUGCAAUUGGAAUGACUACAAUGUAAAGAGUUUAAGGAGGAUCAAUUGGAGGGCAAGUCUGGUGCCAGCAGCCGCGUAAUUCCAGCUCCAAUAGGAUAUAUCAAAGUUGUUGCAGUUAAAAAGCUCGUAGUUGAAUUUCUGGUGGGUUGAUGUUGUUUCUUUUGGAUGAAAGUCUGAGGGAUAAUGACCGCCCGCCAUCUUGUGGAAUCUGUUUUGUUUUGUUUGUUUACUCAAAUGAAAUAAGGCCCCACUCAGUCACUGAGAGCAAAUUGGAGUGCUCAAAGCAGGCUUUAUAGCUUUGAACAUUUUAGCUUGGAAUGACAAGAUAAGACUUUUGUUUUAUUUUGUUGGUUAUAAAAUGAAAGUAAUGAUUAACAGGAACAGUUGCGGGGGUACUCGUAUUGAAAGGUCAGAGGUGAAAUUCUUGGAUUCUUUCAAGACGAACGACUGCGAAAGCAUUUACCAAGGAUGUUUUCAUUAAUCAAGAACGAAAGCUCGGGGAUCGAAGAUGAUUAGAUACCAUCGUAGUCCGACGCCAUAAACGAUGCCGACUCGGGAUUGGUCUAGUAAUUGUUUCACAAAUUCAGAUCAGCACCGUAUGAGAAAUCAAAGUCUUUGGGUUCCGGGGGGAGUAUGGUCGCAAGGCUGAAACUUAAAGGAAUUGACGGAAGGGCACACCAGAGGUGGAGCCUGCGGUUUAAUUUGACUCAACACGGGGAAACUUACCAGGUCCAGACAUGAUGAGGAUUGACAGUUUGAAAGCACUUUCUUGAUUUCAUGGGUGGUGGUGCAUGGCCGUUCUUAGUUUGUGGAGUGAUUUGUCUGGUUGAUUCCGAUAACGAACGAGACGGGAGGAGCUUACUAGUUUCUCGUUAUAACC